Molecule: long non-coding RNA, 1706 nt
Organism: Mya arenaria
Lineage: Eukaryota; Metazoa; Mollusca; Bivalvia; Myida; Myidae
Exons: 2
Source: RefSeq, a predicted model, not a curated record
CAAUAAGGCAAGGAGGUGAUUUCAGAAGCUCCUAUUAGUAAUGAACUAUGUCUGUAUAGUUAAAGUAUACCUUCUAUUUUUUAACUUGCGUAUCAAGUUCGGCCUACGUUUAGUACAUGUAAAGUUUUAGUUAAUUCUUAAUUUUAGACAUUUGACAACAACUUCGGGCUUCGAUAAAUACAUACAUACUCUGCCUAUGGUAAUAGUUUAUCUUAUAUGUAUAGAGAUUACUUAGACUACACCCGGACAUUGAAAGCGGAACUGGCAGCCAAAGGCAUCACAGAGGCGAACAAAGAUCAGGAAGAAAAGCUGGUAGAGACUUUUACUGUCGAUGGUUCGAAGUCGCACUGAGUUCUGUAAUGAUAUGAUAUCAAGUUGUCAUACAAAGGAAUAAAAGAGGCGCAUGUUGAGCCAGACGGAAACUUGGAAAUAGACGUUCUCGGUCGAUUGUCCGUAUACUGUCUUAAGUCACCUGUUGUGGAUAUUAUAUCUUCAAAUGAACUCGUGUUAAAAAGGAAAUUUUCGUGUUGUAUAAGAGGUUUACGUAGUUGUUUAAAAAAAUCUAAGGACAUAAUUUGAAAUGUUAUUAACUUUGGUAAGAACUUCUACAUUUUAUGAUCAUUUUAUUUGUAUGUAAAUAAACGUUGAGACGAGUUCUAUUCCAUUGGAAGAGUAAUUGGAAGCCAUAUGUCGGAGUAGUUUGCUACAGAAAACAUAACAAGCAUGAACUAUGCAUACAAUGUAAAUAAUAUCAGCAAGUUUGAUUACAGUUUUUUUGUACAAUAGUUGUAUAAAUAUCAAACUAGUACGUACUGUAAAUGAUUUUUAACCAAUAUGUGUAUUUUUGUAAGUUAGGCUUUAUCCUUGUGCCUCUUAAAACAUAAUUCGUUAUUUUGAUGUCAGCUUAUAUUCCCUUGUAUUUCCAUUGUAUGUUUUGGAUGAAAAUGAUUAAACAUUAUGCUUUUGUUCAUUCCACUUUAUAACUAAUACUAUUUGGCUAUAACUGUGUUUCCAUGAUGCUUAUGUUAUGUUAUAAUACUUUGUCUUUAUCAGGGGAUUUUAUGUAAUCUAUAGUUUCAGAAUGUUAUAAUUGUCCAUGCGGUCUGUGUGCGUGUUGUUUUUAUGUUCGUUUCAAUUGUCACUGAUGCUCACAAUUAAGAUUGAAUAUUAGAGAAUCCGUAUUUCUACCCAUGUAGAAGACGUCAAUCACCACACACAUAUCAAACAUGCUUGCCCUGCUUUGAAGGCUCAGGUUUAAAAACAACAACACAAGCCAAGUUUUACCUAAAGGAUACCGAAGGUAUAUUUUAAGAACAUUGGCGGGUCCAGGCUUUGAUGUAAGAUGAGGGACUUGGGGGCACAACUCAAGAGUAAUAUUCAAUACACGAAUCAACAACCGGCAACAUCAGACCAUCUCCAUACGGGGCUUGAGCCGUGGUAAACUUGUUAGUAGGCGAAAUCCGUAACAACUGAAACACGAAGGGUAGUAUAAUUAAACGUCAUGUUAAUUUGUUCUUCUCAAAAUAAUUCGUUAAGUGUAGUUAUUAGAAACAUAUACAUGAAAGUCUUCCUAGAAAAGAGGUUUCAUACAAGCCUAUGGAUUUCUCCUCAAUUCUAUAUAUUAUAUGUGUAUGUUGUAAAUGUUUAUUUGUUAUAAAAAAUAAAUACUGUUUAAACCAAAGUCUUCCGGAUGGAGGUUUAAUUUA